This 455-nucleotide ribosomal RNA is filed under the name uncultured bacterium. Its description in RNAcentral is "bacterial SSU rRNA". It matches the Rfam family "Bacterial small subunit ribosomal RNA", at positions 340 to 786 of the family's 1533-position model. The record is from RNAcentral.
UACGGGAGGCAGCAGUAGGGAAUCUUCCGCAAUGGGCGAAAGCCUGACGGAGCAACGCCGCGUGAGUGAAGAAGGUCUUCGGAUCGUAAAACUCUGUUAUUAGGGAAGAACAAAUGUGUAAGUAACUAUGCACGUCUUGACGGUACCUAAUCAGAAAGCCACGGCUAACUACGUGCCAGCAGCCGCGGUAAUACGUAGGUGGCAAGCGUUAUCCGGAAUUAUUGGGCGUAAAGCGCGCGUAGGCGGUUUUUUAAGUCUGAUGUGAAAGCCCACGGCUCAACCGUGAGGGUCAUUGGAAACUGGAAAACUUGAGUGCAGAAGAGGAAAGUGGAAUUCCAUGUGUAGCGGUGAAAUGCGCAGAGAUAUGGAGGAACACCAGUGGCGAAGGCGACUUUCUGGGUCUGUAACUGACGCUGAUGUGCGAAAGCGUGGGGAUCAAACAGGAUUUAGAUACC